GAUGAACGCUGGCGGCGUGCCUAAUACAUGCAAGUCGAGCGAACAGACGAGGAGCUUGCUCCUCUGGCGUUAGCGGCGGACGGGUGAGUAACACGUGGAUAACCUACCUAUAAGACUGGGAUAACUUCGGGAAACCGGAGCUAAUACCGGAUAAUAUAUUGAACCGCAUGGUUCAAUAGUGAAAGACGGUUUUGCUGUCACUUAUAGAUGGAUCCGCGCCGCAUUAGCUAGUUGGUAAGGUAACGGCUUACCAAGGCAACGAUGCGUAGCCGACCUGAGAGGGUGAUCGGCCACACUGGAACUGAGACACGGUCCAGACUCCUACGGGAGGCAGCAGUAGGGAAUCUUCCGCAAUGGGCGAAAGCCUGACGGAGCAACGCCGCGUGAGUGAUGAAGGUCUUCGGAUCGUAAAACUCUGUUAUUAGGGAAGAACAAAUGUGUAAGUAACUAUGCAGGUCUUGACGGUACCUAAUCAGAAAGCCACGGCUAACUACGUG
Molecule: ribosomal RNA, 497 nt
Filed under: uncultured bacterium
Lineage: Bacteria
Description: partial 16S ribosomal RNA
Rfam family: Bacterial small subunit ribosomal RNA
Source: RNAcentral